This 465-nucleotide ribosomal RNA is filed under the name Vreelandella stevensii. RNAcentral's name for it is "partial 16S ribosomal RNA". It matches the Rfam family "Bacterial small subunit ribosomal RNA", at positions 338 to 795 of the family's 1533-position model. Lineage: Bacteria; Pseudomonadati; Pseudomonadota; Gammaproteobacteria; Oceanospirillales; Halomonadaceae. The record is from RNAcentral.
CCUACGGGGGGCUGCAGUGGGGAAUAUUGGACAAUGGGCGAAAGCCUGAUCCAGCCAUGCCGCGUGUGUGAAGAAGGCCUUCGGGUUGUAAAGCACUUUCAGUGGGGAAGAAAGCCUUGGGGCUAAUACCCUCGAGGAAGGACAUCACCCACAGAAGAAGCACCGGCUAACUCCGUGCCAGCAGCCGCGGUAAUACGGAGGGUGCGAGCGUUAAUCGGAAUUACUGGGCGUAAAGCGCGCGUAGGCGGUCUGAUAAGCCGGUUGUGAAAGCCCCGGGCUCAACCUGGGAACGGCAUCCGGAACUGUCAGGCUAGAGUGCAGGAGAGGAAGGUAGAAUUCCAGGUGUAGCGGUGAAAUGCGUAGAGAUCGGGAGGAAUACCAGUGGCGAAGGCGGCCUUCUGGGCUGACACUGACGCUGAGGUGCGAAAGCGUGGGUAGCAAACAGGAUUAGAUACCCGAGUAGUC